GGGCAACAGCCCAGAUCGUCAGCUAAGGUCCCUAAAUGUAAGUUAAGUGGUAAAGGAUGUGGGAUUGCACAGACAACCAGGAUGUUGGCUUAGAAGCAGCCACUCAUUCAAAGAGUGCGUAAUAGCUCACUGGUCGAGUGAUCCUGCGCCGAAGAUUUCCGGGGCUAAAACUUACUACCGAAGCUACGGCAUCAGUAAUGAUGGGUAGGGGGGCUUCCCAUACGGGUUGAAGCAUGACCGUAAGGACAUGUGGACAGUAUGGGAGUGAGAAUGUUGGCAUGAGUAGCGAGAUGUGGGUGAGAAUCCCACAGGCCGUAAACCCAAGGUUUCCAGGGGAAGGUUCGUCCGCCCUGGGUUAGUCGGGACCUAAGCUGAGGCCGAAAGGC
This 386-nucleotide ribosomal RNA is filed under the name Clostridioides difficile. RNAcentral's name for it is "partial 23S ribosomal RNA". It matches the Rfam family "Bacterial large subunit ribosomal RNA", at positions 1017 to 1410 of the family's 2925-position model. The record is from RNAcentral. Lineage: Bacteria; Bacillati; Bacillota; Clostridia; Peptostreptococcales; Peptostreptococcaceae.